This 73-nucleotide transfer RNA is filed under the name Bos taurus (domestic cattle). It matches the Rfam family "tRNA". From Rfam's summary of the family: Transfer RNA (tRNA) molecules are approximately 80 nucleotides in length. The record is from Rfam by way of RNAcentral. RNAcentral also lists the same sequence under 2 other names. Lineage: Eukaryota; Metazoa; Chordata; Mammalia; Artiodactyla; Bovidae.
UUCCUGGUGGUCCACUGCUUAAGACUCUGCGCUCCCAAUGCAGAGGGCCCAGGUUUGAUUCCUGGCUGGGGAA